Molecule: non-coding RNA, 1336 nt
Organism: Danio rerio (zebrafish)
Lineage: Eukaryota; Metazoa; Chordata; Actinopteri; Cypriniformes; Danionidae
Source: RefSeq, a predicted model, not a curated record
AACAGGAAGAGGAGUUUAACAAUGUAUCAGCGACAUAAUGCAAAGAGCUGAAUACAUUAUUAGGUAGUUCACAUGUAUCAACUUACCUCAAGAAUCAGUGGAUUUGUUUGGGAGAAUUGUGGUCCAAUUUUGGUCGGACAUUCUAUCAUCAUAACAGUGAAACCAACAAUAAGGCAGAGAGGUUUUUCCUUACAGUGAAGUACCAAUUUUUGAAGGGGAAGAUGAAUAGCAGUAUUGAUCGGCUUCUUUGCUUGCUUUGUGGUGAUGUUCAGAAAUAUUACAGUUACCUGGAUGAUCUGACAGACACUGGACGAAUCAACAGAUCUAACAGCGAAGACACCAUUAUUGCUGCUCAGUCUAUGGUUGCAAAAGGCCUGGAUACAAAAAUAGAUAUGUCUAAAGAUGGAGUAUGUUUGGUACCACCAGAUACAAGCACAGUUUCACACUGUUGAUUUGGUGAUGCACACGUGCAACUGCAAAAGAUUCCAACGAGGAUCUAUGUGCAAACACUUAAUUUUUUCAAAGACAAUUGCAGAGAAACAAGGACUUGUGAUUCAAGACCUUAGGACUGAUGCAGCAAGAAAGAUUGUUGACAGUCAAUCCUACUUCACAGACAGUGAAAACCUUACUGUCUGUCACUUUGAUGGGAGUGUAGGAGUAGUAAGUCAUAAAGUGACAAGAUUUUGCACAUGCAUUGCAAAUAGUCAUGGGGAGCUGUGUGUAUGUACAUUAGUUCACAGCAUUCUUUACAAAUCUUGUCAGAGCGAUUCUUUUGAUUUACAAUGCUUACAGUCCUGUGAAAGAAAAAAGGCUACACUGCAGGACAUGCUCACAGAUCUUCACGAGUGGAGCCAGUCAGAACAAUUUCAAGAGACUCAGGAAGUGUACAAUUUAGUACAGAGGGCACACAAAUUGAUUUUUUCCUAGUUUAGCAAAGUUUCAAGGAAAAGAAAAAUUGCUGCUCUCCAUGGUUAUAGAAAAAUGGUCAAAAAAGCAAAAGAUAGAGUCAGUGUUAAUUACAUAGUCAAAAAGAAAAAAACAAGGUUCACUCUGUAAGUAGGGAAUGUCUUAUUAAAAUAAUCACAUUUCUCUAAAGUUAUAUUUUUGCUCUUCAAAUAGUGGCAAAUCACAAAAUGGCACUGUAGUGAUGCAGAAAUCGAACAAAUUACAAUGCUUUAACAUGUUUUUAAUGUGUGUCUAUGUAUAUCUUGUCAUUUUUGUUAUAUGGGUGAGCUGGCGCAUCAAUGAGCUAAUAAUCAAAUCGAUAAAUAUGAUAAAGGGGCUGUAUUCAAAAUGUACAAUUUACAAAAUGGAAACAUGUAAUUUUCUACCAGAU